CCUACGGGCGGCAGCAGUGGGGAAUAUUGGACAAUGGGCGAAAGCCUGAUCCAGCCAUGCCGCGUGUGUGAAGAAGGCCUUCGGGUUGUAAAGCACUUUCAGUGGGGAAGAAAGCCUUGGGGCUAAUACCCUCGAGGAAGGACAUCACCCACAGAAGAAGCACCGGCUAACUCCGUGCCAGCAGCCGCGGUAAUACGGAGGGUGCGAGCGUUAAUCGGAAUUACUGGGCGUAAAGCGCGCGUAGGCGGUCUGAUAAGCCGGUUGUGAAAGCCCCGGGCUCAACCUGGGAACGGCAUCCGGAACUGUCAGGCUAGAGUGCAGGAGAGGAAGGUAGAAUUCCCGGUGUAGCAGUGAAAUGCGUAGAGAUCGGGAGGAAUACCAGUGGCGAAGGCGGCCUUCUGGACUGACACUGACGCUGAGGUGCGAAAGUGUGGGUAGCAAACAGGAUUAGAUACCCGGGUAGUC
Molecule: ribosomal RNA, 465 nt
Filed under: Vreelandella stevensii
Lineage: Bacteria; Pseudomonadati; Pseudomonadota; Gammaproteobacteria; Oceanospirillales; Halomonadaceae
Description: partial 16S ribosomal RNA
Rfam family: Bacterial small subunit ribosomal RNA
Source: RNAcentral